This 411-nucleotide long non-coding RNA is filed under the name Gossypium barbadense (sea-island cotton). Its description in RNAcentral is "long non-coding RNA (GBAR_LNC005253)". The record is from RNAcentral. Lineage: Eukaryota; Viridiplantae; Streptophyta; Magnoliopsida; Malvales; Malvaceae.
UCCAACUCGACGGAAUAAAUCUAGCAAGAGAAAGAAAGGAUGAAAGAAAGACAUACGAAUUCCCUUCUAAAGGGGCCUAGGUAAUAGCCUAAAAAAAAUAAUCAGGAAUUGCUCCGGAGAUGCGUUCUUCGAACUCUUCAUCGGCAACCGAAGAAGAAGGAAGCUAAACAAUGGGUCUUUCUUUGCUCUUGAGUGUGGGGAGUUCGUCAACUUCAGUCUGCACUGCCUCUGGACUAAUGAUUCUUUCCUUCUUUGAGCUCCUGUUUUCUUUGCUUGCUCCUAUGAUAAAGGGAAGGGGAGAGGUGGGGUGAACGAAUCGGAUCUUAGAGAAGUCUCAGUCUUCGUCCACACCUAGGACAGGGAAGAAGGAUCCAUUUGAGAAUUUAGCUAGGGCUACUAUUUGAAUUAAGC